CUUGUGGCUCUCAGCAGCGGGAUUUUCAACGUGUGAUCUUCACAAAAGCGACGGUGUCGUACCGUUUACGUUGGGCCUUCAGCAUCUCAGAAGACGUUACCUCGCCGGGAGAAGGACAACAACCCGUGUGGGUUCCCUCCCAGCAACUGAGAUUGCAUUAUAACUCCAAGGAUGGUAGAACUCUCAGAAA
Macaca mulatta (Rhesus monkey) is the source of this 190-nucleotide non-coding RNA. Lineage: Eukaryota; Metazoa; Chordata; Mammalia; Primates; Cercopithecidae. The record is from RefSeq and is a predicted model, not a curated record.